GGACCACAUAGUAAACUAUGACUUUUUAGUCAAAUUUUGGACCACAUCAUUUGAAGCACAGAGGACAAACAACUGGAUUUGCAAAAACAAACAUUUUAAUUGUGUGAGUGCACAUUUCCGGACAUAUUUCGGCAAUGCACAUAUAAAUAAAUUACAUCUCAAUAAAUUUUGAAAACACAUAAGUACAGAUGGAAUUUAAGGCAUAACUUAAGUCCCUAUAUAACAAAAAUAUACCUUUAGCUUUAGGUUGUACAACUUCACUUUCAGAAUCAGUUCCUUGGGCCUAAACCUCACUCAAAACAGUAAAGUCACAAGAUUAAACAGAGAAUCAAAACUAAUCAGCAAACACAAACUUCUCAAAGGUGAGCAGUGCUGGCACAGCAGCUUUCGGCAUUCAAAGAAAAAUCUUUGGCAGUCUGUUUAAGUGAAGAAAAAUGCUUCACCACAGUUUUUAAAUGAUCUUUUAAAAAGAUGUAAAUACCACAUUUUUGUUGCUGAUGUGCCUGUCCAUGUCUACUGCUAGGAGAUUACAGUCUGUGCUUGUGAGUGUAUGUGAGUUUAAAUGAAUGAAAGUCAGCAUUUCAACAUGCUCAGAAUGCUGGCCCAGUGCUUUGAUGCAUUAUUUCCCACUGCCGAAAACAGUUGCUCUUUCAUCGUUGAGGUCGCAGGAAGACACAUCCACAACAUUGCCAAAAUUGCUAGCAUUGGAUAGUGGGCUGCUGCUUGUUUUGUCCUACUUUGUUUUGGCAUUACCGCCACUUGUCCUCUGACUACCAGACAGAGCACUGAGUUUUGCACAAACGCCUCUUCACUGCAAAGCAUUUUUUCCUCGAGGAUGUCCAAAAUCCUGCAAAAAUGUUAUAAUAUGUUGUCCAAAAUAUGCCAAAAAUGUCCUUGCAGUGACUCCAGUGAUGUGUUUCUUGUUCAGGACUUGGUGAGGAUCAGCAGUAAGACUGGCAGCAGCAGCAUGAAACUGAAAAUCAUUCCCAAGGUGAAGAAGGAGAGAGAGAAGCUCCACAAGCAGAAGUCCAACAGCUCUCUCUCAGGAACAUGGGAAGUCAAAGGUGGCGUUGGUGAAGCAGAUUCCUCGGGUAAUUGAUGUCCUGCCUCCUGUUCUCCUGAGAAACCCAGGGGUGAGGAGCAUCUCCUCCCUUCUGACCUCUGACCUCGAUGCUCAGUGGCCGUGAGGAGGAAAAGGAAAACUAUGUCCUUUUUAUUUUGCCAUUUUUCCCGGGUGUUGUUGAACUUUCUUUGAUGGGCCUUGGCUUUGCACAGCAUCGCUUCACCAUCUGCGUUUUGGUUCUGUCGAACCUGGUUGAGCUAGGAAGUGGGCGUGGCUAAAAGCAAAUCAAGCAGCGGGACGAAGGAGGCGUGGAGCGACGGCACUAACUCUUUCGUUGACAAUGUUUACGUGGCGCUCUUUGCAUGUCGAGUGCAGCCAUCCUGUUUUAUAUCUAAAUUAUAUUGCAAUUCUUUUGUUACUUUAAUUGUUUUUUUUCGGAAAAUUAUGAAUAUACGUUUAAAGGAAACGUUUUUUUUUUAAAUCUUUCUUAAGAGUAUUUAUUCGUUGUUGCUACUGCCAUGAGAACUUCAACGGCAACGAAACGGAACAAACUGAAACAUCUCAAACUUAUCGUCUACUGAACUUCUCUUAAAUGUUGCAAAAAAUAUACAGAGGAAUGUAUUUGUGUGGACUUGUAUUUACCUGAUGAAAAAAAACAAACAAACAAAAAAAGCUGAUGUUCUAAUGAUAAUACAAAUAUGAUUUCACAAAAGUUUUAUUGUUGUGGUUCUAAAGUGGUUGUUAGUCGGCUGUCGUGUGACUAUGCAGCGAAAACUAUUGUUCUUGACGAUGAGUCAUUUCAUCUGUAUUCCAGUGAAGAGAUCCGACUGCUGGAUUUAAAAAAAAAAAGUAAAAAAGAUUAUAUGGGUAUAUAUAUAUGUAUACAUAUAUAUAUACACACGGUACAUCUGUUGGAUCUUAAAAAUGUGACUAAGUGGGAGGAGUUUGUUCAUUUCACUUAUUUUUCAGGAUCAUUUCAAGGUGAAAUGACUCAGAUUUUAGUCCGUUUACAGAAGAAGCAUCAACAAAACUUUGCAGCUACACAGAAUAUUAAUCUUCAUUUGCCAUAUUUUUUGAUUGUAUUUGUAUAUUAUAAGAAUAAGAGUAGGUGGAUAUUAGAUCAUUAUUAUUAUUUUUGCCUCGUCUGUGGUUUAAAAAGCUUUUAUUAUAAUUAUGACAAAUAUAUAUAUUAUAUCUAUUUUUUUGUAUAUCUUAUUUUCACAAUGCUAAUCUGUGAAGCUGCUCUGGCUUUGCUGCGCCCACCCCCAACAAACUCCUGAGCCACUGUGUUUAUAAUCCAAGCCAAUUACUGCUGAUCUGUGUCCCUGCAUGAAAACUUCACCCUCUAGCGCCUCACAGUGGCUGCUGCGUGAAUUUUGCCUCAUUGGAGGUUUUUUUUCCCACCUUUUUAUGUUUUUUUUUUUUUUUUUUAAGAUUUUCUAAUGUACUCAUUGGAAAGUUAAUCAAUUAACAAAAAGAAAACACUGGAGAAAAACUAAAUAAUUAUAUAUAUAUAAAUAUACUGUAUAAUGUGACCUUACUGCAGCUAAAACAGAACAUUGAAAUAUCCUUGCGUACCUUUGGACGUAGCUAGAAAACGUUGACAAGUUCUGUCCAGGUUUUACUGAAAUUAUCCUUUACAACUUCCCACUUCCCACUUUUUGCGGCAUUUGUUCAAGAUAAAUUACAACAUUUGCAUAUUUUAUGGUGGUUUUUUUUUUGCCCCUAGUUAAGAGAGGAAACUAAAAAAACGUCAAUGGCCUAGCAAAAAAAGGAAGCUAGCAACAGUUAGUUAGCAAGAAAAAAACGUUUUUGUUAGCCAUCUUAUAUAUAGUACCUUUUGUUGAGGUUUGGACGUGACAUUUGCGUUUUUUUGCCCAGAGUUAAGAGAAAAAUAGCCUAGCAAAGAAGUAGGCUAGCAACAGUGAACAAAGAAAAGGGUUUUAUUAGCCAAAGUUUCAUUAAAAUAUUUUUUUUAACUGUCAAACCAUGGCUAUCUUUAACAUAAGCUAGGCUAAACGUGUUGUGAAGCUAAUUUGUGAACUGAAUGGACAAAAAAUAUGUUUAGGUUUGUUUCUUUAUUGAUUCUGUUUGGUUAUUACAGUAAAAUUUAUAUAUCCUCUAUUUUAAUUCAGUCACAAGUUAGAACGCCAUAAAAUACAUGCUACAAAUGUUUACACCCAGUUAGCCGUGCAGGGGAUUACGGCUUAUACAAAAGCUGGUACAAACUGUUAAAAAUAAUACGACUCAGUUUUGGUGACAUGUAAAGGGUCAUUCCACUGAUUCUUCAAAUCACGUCCACUUAAUAAUUGAUUUUCUCUGUUAUUCAUACUUUUUUUAAAUCAUGGGCGGAGCUACUGUGAGGCAUUUGUACGUGUUUAGAUCUGGUAGGAUUGUGCUACUGUAUCCAUAGUGUGCCAGCUUUACGCUCUACACCUUAGAGGCUUUAGUGGUGUCGUGCCAAGUUUAUACAGAGUUUAGUGGAUUACGAGACAUACAGGUGUGUGUGAGAGUGUGUGAGCUACUUGCGCUUCAGAUGCAAAAGUCGUAUGUCGUACAUUUCAAAGUUUACUGUAUCUUGCCUUGCACUUUACAAAGACGCAAACUUAACGGGAGGGAAAGUACAUUUUACUGUAUGUGUGUGUGAAUCACGUGGUUUACGAGAGUUUAUUUUUUAUUGAUUUAAUGACGAAAACCUUUAUUUAUGUCCAACAUACACAGAUGAGUGUGUGGGUGAAAUGUAAUAUAUCUAAUCAAAAGGUAACAUUCUGCCAUUGAACACCUGUACGACUGUGCCGUUCCACUGCCACAUCACUGUCUCUGAAAAGUCUUUCGAUUAGGAUCAAGAAAAUGACUUGAUAAAAUUAUUCCAACUUUAAGCCAAAGUUAGUGAAAUUGUCCAGUGUUAUUAUUUAAAAAAAAUAAAUAAAUAAAGAUGUCAUGUACAGUCUGUAUGUACUGAAUUUUUUCUGUAUCGGUUUUGAUUUCGUUGGUAAUUUGUUAUGCUAAAAACUUCAAAUGCAAAUGUUUGGGGAACAGUCUUUUGUGGUCAAAGUUACUUUAACUAGUUUAAAUGUUAACUUGACUCAUGAUUUUUUCUUUUCAGAAAAACAUAAUUUGUAGUUUUCAACGGGGAAAAAGACACUUUCGACUGAGACUCUUUCAGGGAAGAAACUGAAACAACAUUGAUGACUUCAUGAAUCCUCACCCCCUGAUGUGAAACAGACUGUGUGGACAGUGUUGGACUCGAUGUUGCACGAGGUGUUUUAUUGUGUCAUUGUGUGCAGUGUGUAACGACGACGACGUCAGCUCAAACUUUUGGAGAUUAAAUGAAUCAUUGAAGUGUGAA
This is a long non-coding RNA of Solea senegalensis (Senegalese sole), 4412 nucleotides long. RefSeq lists it as uncharacterized. The record is from RefSeq and is a predicted model, not a curated record. Lineage: Eukaryota; Metazoa; Chordata; Actinopteri; Pleuronectiformes; Soleidae. The transcript has 2 exons.